Molecule: ribosomal RNA, 253 nt
Filed under: uncultured bacterium
Lineage: Bacteria
Description: partial 16S ribosomal RNA
Rfam family: Bacterial small subunit ribosomal RNA
Source: RNAcentral
GACGUAGGGCGCGAGCGUUGUCCGGAAUUAUUGGGCGUAAAGAGCUCGUAGGCGGCUUGUUGCGUCGUCCGUGAAAUCCCGUGGCUCAACCGCGGGCUUGCGGACGAUACGGGCAGGCUAGAGUUCGGUAGGGGAGACUGGAAUUCCUGGUGUUGCGGUGAAAUGCGCAGAUAUCAGGAGGAACACCGGUGGCGAAGGCGGGUCUCUGGGCCGAUACUGACGCUGAGGAGCGAAAGCGUGGGGAGCAAACAGG